Molecule: long non-coding RNA, 405 nt
Filed under: Homo sapiens (human)
Lineage: Eukaryota; Metazoa; Chordata; Mammalia; Primates; Hominidae
Description: HSALNT0304520
Source: RNAcentral
AUAUCUCAGCGAUGAGUCCUGUAGACUGCAGGCUCCACGGCAGUUGCAGCUCCCAGGGCUUCAGAUUGGAGCUGCCUGUGACAUGCAGAGGUGGAAGCACAGCCUCAGCUGUGGUGGACGGCAGCCUCUUUCAGCCCCCAGGUGCAUAACAAAGGCUGUCUUGAUUGUAUCUGUGAGAGUGCCAUGAUUUGGGGUUUUCUCUGUCGGUUUGGACCAGAUCAGAAAGCAAUUGGGACUAUUGUGUCUCUCAUGGAAACCCAAGGUGGGAGAAAGAAGCAGAAGGAGAUCCUGGAACCAAAAACACUUCAGCAAUGAAGACUGGAUUUUCUCUGAAAUGAACAACAAAAUAAAAUCUCUCCUGUAGAUCUCUAAAGCUCUGUGCAUACUUUGUCUAUGCUUUCUAGA